This 492-nucleotide ribosomal RNA is filed under the name uncultured bacterium. RNAcentral's name for it is "partial 16S ribosomal RNA". It matches the Rfam family "Bacterial small subunit ribosomal RNA", at positions 29 to 507 of the family's 1533-position model. The record is from RNAcentral.
AGUGAACGCUGGCGGUAGGCCUAACACAUGCAAGUCGAACGGCAGCACAGUAAGAGCUUGCUCUUACGGGUGGCGAGUGGCGGACGGGUGAGGAAUACAUCGGAAUCUACUUUUUCGUGGGGGAUAACGUAGGGAAACUUACGCUAAUACCGCAUACGACCUACGGGUGAAAGCAGGGGAUCUUCGGACCUUGCGCGAUUGAAUGAGCCGAUGUCGGAUUAGCUAGUUGGCGGGGUAAAGGCCCACCAAGGCGACGAUCCGUAGCUGGUCUGAGAGGAUGAUCAGCCACACUGGAACUGAGACACGGUCCAGACUCCUACGGGAGGCAGCAGUGGGGAAUAUUGGACAAUGGGCGCAAGCCUGAUCCAGCCAUACCGCGUGGGUGAAGAAGGCCUUCGGGUUGUAAAGCCCUUUUGUUGGGAAAGAAAAGCAGUAGGUUAAUACCCCGCUGUUCUGACGGUACCCAAAGAAUAAGCACCGGCUAACUUCAUG